UAGCUUACUCUAUAUUUUAUAAUCAAUUAAAAAUAAGAAAUUAAACCUGUUUACAUUUUGUUUAUGGCUAUAGCUUGUGGUAAAGCGAAUUAGAAUUUCAUUCUGAUUCGAAACAAUGUGCAAUGACGUGUUCCAUCUCUAUGCGACCGAGAGGGUCACAAUGCCGACGCUUCACAUGGAACUCCAGAACCCAAGAGAUAUGUCCAGAACUCUCAAUAAAUCGUCAGUUCUUGAUCGACAAACAACGAGAGAGACAGUAUUAUUAUGGCAAGCUUUUCAUUCAUCUUCCCUGAAGACAGACGUUGUUCCAUUAAGGACAACGAAGUCAAUUCAGGGUGGAUGUCAAUGGUGACCCAACUCAAUGCCCUUGGUGGUCCAGAGUCAGAGAGUCAGAACAUUGUUCAGAGCUUUGCAGAGGUACUUGGUGACAAGUACCACUACGAGAAUACCAUCAACAGCUCUCUGCUCUGGACUGUUGGGUACACCCCUUACAUUCCCCCAGCUCUGAAAGGAAGAAGCUUCCCUUCUGUCGAGAGCUUCUUCCUGGAUGAGUGGGAUCCACUGACACUCCUGCAGACUCCUCAGGUUCUGUCCACCAGUGUUUCCAUCGAGGAAGACAACCUGAUCCAGUCUGCUGCAGGCCUAGUGUCUCAAGUUCUGUCCACCAGUGUUGCCAUCGUGGAGAAUUACCUGAUCCAGUCUGCUGCAGGCCUAGUGUCUCAGGUUCUGUCCACCAGUGUUUCCAUCGAGGAAGACAACCUGAUCCAGUCUGCUGCAGGCCUAGUGUUUCUGGUUCUGUCCACCAGUGUUUCCAUCGUGGAGAAUGACCUGAUCCAGUCUGCUGCAGGCCUAGUGUCUCAGGUUCUGUCUACCAGUGUUUUCAUCGUGGAGAAUGACCUGAUCCAGUCUGCUGCAGGCCUAGUGUCUCAGGUUCUGUCCACCAGUGUUUCCAUCGUGGAGAAUGACUUGAUCCAGUCUGCUGCAGGCCUAGUGUCUCAGGUUCUGUCUACCAGUGUUGCCAUCAUGGAGAAUGACCUGAUCCAGUCUGCUGCAGGCCUAGUGUCUCAGGUUCUGUCCAGCAGUGACGCUAGAGUGAAGGAUCGUGAUGAUUCCACACUGAGAGACUCCAACCAACUUGAGGUCCAUGUGGCUGAUGUCUCAACCAAGAGAAGUAGACUAGUCAUCACUAUUUCUAUGUUUUCAUCCGAGAGUGGCAAUGCUUCGGUCCAUGAAGUUGAUGCUAUUGCUACCAGCCUGGAGCACUCUGCUGAGAAAAUGUCUACCUCUACCGCUAAUGGCCAUAUUGUUUCAUCCACUGCUGUAGCCAAUCAGAAGAAAACAAGGGGUGGAUUCAUCUCAUCUCUACGGAGACUGUUCACAAGAAAGAACAGGAUGCCUGCUUAAAGUGGCAUCAAAGAAGGAGCACGUUCACUUGGUUGACCGCCUCAAUGCUGAAGUCACCCACUGAGGACACUCACUCACUGCUGAAGGCAUCCAGAAUGAUGCUUCUGUUUCUCCUCAACACCACCUACACCCCUGCCCCUCUCCCCCACACCAAACCCUACCAGGGUUGAGGUGAAUUCCAGAUCAAUUCAGUCAAUUCAGCAAGUCAACUGAAAUUCCAAUUCCAAUUGUUUCUCAUAGGAGGCAAUGAGGUAAAUUUGAAUUGCUAUUGGAAUUUCAGUUUACUUACUGAAUUGACUGAAUUGAAAAUGAAUUGACCCCAACCCUGAUCCCCAAGCCCCCACCCCAUCCAUUUCUAUCUUCAGUAAAUUUUGUAGAAUUUUAUUUGAAGUUGUUUUGGAUCUUCAUUAAAACCACAAUACAUCUCUAAUGAGGGUCACUCAUGUUACACAUCUAGAUUUAUCAUCAAAUAUCGUAGAAUUCAACAACAAAUGCAGAAAAACUGAAAACUUUUGCUGACAUUCGGUUACAAUGUAACUACACUGAACAAAAAUAUUAGCGCAACAUGUAAAGUGUUGGUCCCAUGUUUCAUGAGCUGAAAUAAAAUCCCAGAAGUGUUCCAUAUGUACAAAAAGGUUAUUUCUCUCAAAUGUUGUGUUUACAUCCCUGUUAGUGAGCAUUUCUCCUUUGCCAAGAUAAUCCAUCC
This 2110-nucleotide long non-coding RNA is filed under the name Oncorhynchus kisutch (coho salmon). Its description in RNAcentral is "lncRNA (ENSOKIG00005027850.1)". Lineage: Eukaryota; Metazoa; Chordata; Actinopteri; Salmoniformes; Salmonidae. The record is from RNAcentral.